This 642-nucleotide ribosomal RNA is filed under the name uncultured Prochlorococcus sp. RNAcentral's name for it is "bacterial SSU rRNA". It matches the Rfam family "Bacterial small subunit ribosomal RNA", at positions 124 to 798 of the family's 1533-position model. The record is from RNAcentral. Lineage: Bacteria; Bacillati; Cyanobacteriota; Cyanophyceae; Synechococcales; Prochlorococcaceae.
AUCUGCCCUCAGGAGGGGGAUAACGGUUGGAAACGACCGCUAAUACCCCAUAUGCCGAGAGGUGAAAUGAAUUUCGCCUGAGGAUGAGCUCGCGUCUGAUUAGUUAGUUGGUGGGGUAAUGGCCUACCAAGACAUCGAUCAGUAGCUGGUCUGAGAGGAUGAUCAGCCACACUGGGACUGAGACACGGCCCAGACUCCUACGGGAGGCAGCAGUGGGGAAUUUUCCGCAAUGGGCGAAAGCCUGACGGAGCAACGCCGCGUGAGGGAUGAAGGCCUCUGGGCUGUAAACCUCUUUUAUCAAGGAAGAAGAUCUGACGGUACUUGAUGAAUAAGCCACGGCUAAUUCCGUGCCAGCAGCCGCGGUAAUACGGGAGUGGCAAGCGUUAUCCGGAAUUAUUGGGCGUAAAGCGUCCGCAGGCGGUCUGUCAAGUCUGCUGUUAAAGCGUGGAGCUUAACUCCAUUUCGGCAGUGGAAACUGACAGACUAGAGUGUGGUAGGGGCAGAGGGAAUUCCCGGUGUAGCCGGUGAAAUGCGUAGAUAUCGGGAAGAACACCAGUGGCGAANGCGCUCUGCUGGGCCAUAACUGACGCUCAUGGACCAAAGCCAGGGGAGCGAAAGGGAUUAGAUACCCCUGUAGUCAAA